AAACGACUCUCGGCAACGGAUAUCUCGGCUCACGCAUCGAUGAAGAACGUAGCAAAAUGCGAUACUUGGUGUGAAUUGCAGAAUCCCGUGAACCAUCGAGUUUUUGAACGCAAGUAGCGCCCGAAGCCAUCCGGUUGAGGGCACGCCUGCCUGGGCGUCACG
RNAcentral lists this ribosomal RNA (162 nucleotides) under Taraxacum sp. Sojak 734. RNAcentral describes it as "5.8S ribosomal RNA". It matches the Rfam family "5.8S ribosomal RNA". Rfam says of the family: 5.8S ribosomal RNA (5.8S rRNA) is a component of the large subunit of the eukaryotic ribosome. It is transcribed by RNA polymerase I as part of the 45S precursor that also contains 18S and 28S rRNA. The record is from RNAcentral. Lineage: Eukaryota; Viridiplantae; Streptophyta; Magnoliopsida; Asterales; Asteraceae.